UGGGGAAUAUUGCACAAUGGGCGCAAGCCUGAUGCAGCCAUGCCGCGUGUAUGAAGAAGGCCUUCGGGUUGUAAAGUACUUUCAGCGGGGAGGAAGGGAGUAAAGUUAAUACCUUUGCUCAUUGACGUUACCCGCAGAAGAAGCACCGGCUAACUCCGUGCCAGCAGCCGCGGUAAUACGGAGGGUGCAAGCGUUAAUCGGAAUUACUGGGCGUAAAGCGCACGCAGGCGGUUUGUUAAGUCAGAUGUGAAAUCCCCGGGCUCAACCUGGGAACUGCAUCUGAUACUGGCAAGCUUGAGUCUCGUAGAGGGGGGUAGAAAUCCAGGUGUAGCGGUGAAAUGCGUAGAGAUCUGGAAGAAUACCGGUGGCGAAGGCGGCCCCCUGGACGAAGACUGACGCUCAGGUGCGAAAGCGUGGGGAGCAAAAAGG
This 429-nucleotide ribosomal RNA is filed under the name Chloroflexota bacterium. RNAcentral describes it as "Chloroflexi bacterium partial 16S ribosomal RNA". It matches the Rfam family "Bacterial small subunit ribosomal RNA", at positions 355 to 776 of the family's 1533-position model. Lineage: Bacteria; Bacillati; Chloroflexota. The record is from RNAcentral.